UUCUCAACCUCAUUCAUGGAUUUAGAAUAACUUAGUUUCUUUUGCACUUUCUUCAUUUCACAUAUUUCGUAUUCAGCGACACAUUAAGGAAGUAAAAGAUGAUUGAUGAUCGAGACUUGGGAUUCAUUGCCAACUCUCUUGGCAUCUUCAUUUUUGUAUUGGUAAUAGCAUAUCACUUGGUCACAGCAGACCCCAAAUAUGAAGCCGCAUAGAUACUUAAUACUUUGAAUUUUCUUAUGCCAUACUCAGAACACAAGUUUUAUGGAUUCAAUUUUGUUUAUUGAUCUUUUAGGUCAGUUUGUAUGACUUAAUAUUGGUGAAACUGAAGCCAGAGUUUAUGAUUUAUGCAAACUAAAUCUUCAAUAUUUACAACCAUUUGUUAAACAUUAUAGAUAGAUUUUCUGUUGCUUUGUCUACUGGUUUUGAGCACUGUUUCAUCUUUUGUUGUGUUUUGUCAGAAACAGUUCCUCAUGAUAAUUUAGAGAAAUUUUGCUUACAUAUGACGGGAAUGGAUUCUCUCUCUUGUAAAAUAAAAAUUGAGUGUAGAAUGCUAGAAAUUAGAGAGCUGAUUAGGAUGCUAGAGCUCAGAAGGGUUUAA
This is a non-coding RNA of Lupinus albus (white lupine), 598 nucleotides long. Lineage: Eukaryota; Viridiplantae; Streptophyta; Magnoliopsida; Fabales; Fabaceae. The record is from the annotation of a GenBank genome assembly.